Girardinichthys multiradiatus is the source of this 325-nucleotide long non-coding RNA. RefSeq lists it as uncharacterized. NCBI's taxonomy places the organism in Eukaryota, Metazoa, Chordata, Actinopteri, Cyprinodontiformes, Goodeidae. The transcript is spliced from 2 exons. The record is from RefSeq and is a predicted model, not a curated record.
UUAACAGGAAAGCUAGACUCAGUGUGUGUGUGCACACAGAGAUUUAGAUUUUGUAGUCUAAUAUGUGGAAAUGCGCCACAGCCACAGGUCCCAGCAUGAAGACGGCUCUUUGUCCAUCCUGGAUUUGCUCAAAUAUGCUGAUGAUGGGAUGGAACCGGGUGGAUAUCCGGACCUGGACAGAUAUCAAUUUGCUUUGUCAAGGUUUCCUUAAGGCAUCUCAAGCCCAACUUUGAAUUGCUGUAACAACUUGAGGAUAUCACGGAAAUACAAUCAAAUAAUUUGAGAACAUAUUAGGUUGGGACAAAGCCACGGUACAAUGAACCUU